Molecule: long non-coding RNA, 255 nt
Organism: Lucilia cuprina (Australian sheep blowfly)
Lineage: Eukaryota; Metazoa; Arthropoda; Insecta; Diptera; Calliphoridae
Exons: 2
Source: RefSeq, a predicted model, not a curated record
UAUAAAAAGCUGUGAAGUCAACAAAAUAGUUAACAGUAUUCCAACAUAUUUCGUUGCGAAAAACAGUUCUUUUAUAGAGAAAAAUAUGCAAAUAAUUAAAUUAUUCCUUGUAGUCGCUUGUAUUGUAGCCAGUGCUAUGGCUGCUCCGGAUAACUAUAAUGCUCAAGGUGUUUCGAACUCCGGUUACUUUAACCAAGGCGGAAAGUAAUAUAAAUUAAUCAAAUGAGACUUUAAUAAAAAUUGUAUUGAAUGAAA